This 292-nucleotide ribosomal RNA is filed under the name uncultured microorganism. RNAcentral describes it as "partial 16S ribosomal RNA". It matches the Rfam family "Bacterial small subunit ribosomal RNA", at positions 505 to 796 of the family's 1533-position model. The record is from RNAcentral.
GUGCCAGCAGCCGCGGUAAUACGUAGGGGGCAAGCGUUGUCCGGAAUUAUUGGGCGUAAAGCGCGCGCAGGCGGUCAUUUAAGUCUGGUGUUUAAUCCUGGGGCUCAACCCCGGGUCGCACUGGAAACUGGGUGGCUUGAGUACAGAAGAGGAGAGUGGAAUUCCACGUGUAGCGGUGAAAUGCGUAGAUAUGUGGAGGAACACCAGGUGGCGAAGGCGACUCUCUGGGCUGUAACUGACGCUGAGGCGCGAAAGCGUGGGGAGCAAACAGGAUUAGAUACCCUGGUAGUCC